This 448-nucleotide ribosomal RNA is filed under the name uncultured bacterium. RNAcentral's name for it is "bacterial SSU rRNA". It matches the Rfam family "Bacterial small subunit ribosomal RNA", at positions 330 to 793 of the family's 1533-position model. The record is from RNAcentral.
GCCAGACUCCUACGGGAGGCAGCAGUGGGGAAUAUUGGGCAAUGGGCGCAAGCCUGACCCAGCAAUGCCGCGUGAAGGAAGAAGGCUUUCGGGUUGUAAACUUCUUUGACAGGGGAAGAGCAGAAGACGGUACCCUGAAAACAAGCCACGGCUAACUACGUGCCAGCAGCCGCGGUAAUACGUAGGUGGCAAGCGUUAUCCGGAUUUAUUGGGUGUAAAGGGCGUGUAGGCGGGAGCGCAAGUCAGAUGUGAAAACUCAGGGCUCAACCCUGAGCCUGCAUUUGAAACUGUGUUUCUUGAGUGCUGGAGAGGCAAUCGGAAUUCCGUGUGUAGCGGUGAAAUGCGUAGAUAUACGGAGGAACACCAGUGGCGAAGGCGGAUUGCUGGACAGUAACUGACGCUGAGGCGCGAAAGCGUGGGGAGCAAACAGGAUUAGAUACCCCCGUAC